AUUCAAUUUGGAGGAGCGAUCCGACAGGCAAACCGCCUCAGUCUCGUCUCUCGCAUCGACCAAACUAACGAGCACCAUUUUAAACUGACGCCUGUUUGUUUAAAUUCGGUUUUACAUGACUUGGACGGCAAAGCUUUGACAGUUGCCAAAGUUGGAUUUACUUUUCCUUUUUUCCCCUUGCCACUUCAGGCAAGCCCAGCGGUGGUAUUUACACCAAUUGUGUCUUUUUAUUCCAAAACAAAUUAGCCGAUGAUGUUUUGUCUGCAUGUCUAUUUUGUCGGUUUUUAUUUACAGAUCCCGCGAGCGUGGAGAGUCUGUAGAUAAUAAUAAUUAACACAAUUACGCGCGCAAGAGAUCGACUCGUCGAGGAGGCGGAUUGGCUCCGAAACGAGCCUCAUGGUGAUGUUGGGAUGUUCCUUUUGUGGAAAAGAUUGAAAAAGUAAAAACAGACCAAUUAAUUAAAUGUAUAUUUGUACAUGUAGCUGGAUUUAGGUAUAAGACUAAAUAAUAUUUGUUGAGAAAAACAGAGUUUUGAGUAAUUUAAUAGGAUACACUCACAUAUCAUGUAGAUAAUCAUACAGGAGGGAAUAUAACCGAGAUAUCACAUCAGCAAAAGUAUAGAGUUAUUUAAAAAUUUUAGUUUAAUAUGUUUGAAAUAUUUUUUUUAGAUGUGAAGACAUACUGUCGAUAAUUCAUUUUACAUGUUGAAUUCCCCAAAUUUUUUCCAAAGCUCUUAUAUAGCUAAUAAUUAGUUUUUACCGGUUGAAUAAAUGAUUCUUAAGUGUUUUCUUUACAGAAUUGUAAAGUAUGACUUGACUUUUUAUGUAUCAUUUCAGUUUUUCUUUCCUUAUAAUAAAAUGUUAUCAUUUUAUUAAAUAUGUUAAGUCCCCCUUUUGGUAAAUGUUGUGAGUCUAUGAGCAAUUCAAGUGUAUGCAUACAGACAAAGCCACAUAUAUACAGUGCAAGAGAAAGGUGUCGAACAAGAUUAUUUUUAUUUGAAAAUGUGGUUGUGGCAGAGAUAGUUUCAUAAAGAGCUCAUUCAGCGAUGAAGAUCACUCCCGCUCUCUCUGUCUAUUUGCCCUGAGGGCCACUAUCUAAAAUGGCAAUAGAUCCCAGAUAGUUCACUGUUCAAUUUGCUGAUGAUAGAUUAUAGUGCCAAUUUAAACAGAUAGGGAUCAAUUUGUCUCAAUGAUCACUCCUUAGGCCGACUGCCAGCAUGCUCUUAAUGUAUUUGUAAAUGCUGGUUGUUUGAAUCAUGGCUGUUGUGCUGAAAGUGAUCAAAACUGCAGUGAGGAGGGAAAUGAGCGCUGUAAAUGAUAAAUGAUGUGUUUUGGCUGCUAAAGGCUGCAUUGAUGGAGCGUACGUGAUGAUUACUUCAGGCGGAGGCAUUGUAGCAGCGGUGGCCAUAAGGUCAAUGGUUUAAGUCUGAGGACUUACUGGUAAAGUCUGGCGAGGAGAAUGGUGUGAUAAGUGCUGUGUAACCCUCAGGAACUAGUGCUGAAGUGCCCUUCGGCAAAGCAGCUUAAGCCCCCAUCUGUCCCAGUGGAGCUUCAGAGCAACCACAAGGACGAGACUGCGGUUUGCACCGGGCACUUGUGAAAUGUGUCUCCCCGAGUGUGACCUGCCCUCCCUCUUCUUUUCAGACUGGGAGAGUGGGCAGUCCACUCGCCUCACACUUUUUGUUUCACAGAGAAAAAGUUUGGGAGAAGCCACAGGAGAGAGGAAGCUGUGGCACAGUUCAGACCUGAACCAGACAUGGUUCACAUGUGGCCCUGAAGGCACCAGACAGCGUAUUGAAUUACUGUAACUCUAGGUGUAACGUGGGAGAAGUGUGGGAUGAAUAAAACGUAUGCAAACUGAAGUAGUGGUGGUGUUCAUGCAGCUUCAGCUAUUUCAGAUAUUUCAUGUCAGACGCAUUGAGAUGAAGAUUGUCUUAAAUCUCAGAUACAAUCUAUCAAGUUAUGACUUUUAAUUGCCAAUGGUGAUUAUCAGUUUAUUAAACUGUAUUGUAACAUGAAAACCUUUUGUCUCCAGGUUAUUGAGUUAGUUUACAUUAAAGACUGAAAUGCUUUGGAGAUCAGCUAAACCCUGCUGCAUCAACUGAUACCCACGAGUGAACAGCUAAAGCCUCGGCACACUGUUUACUUCAUCAGGAUGUUGUUGGACAUUUUGGAGACGCAGGGAUUUGAUGUAUCAGGGACGCGUGUGCAAUUAUGAAACGGCCAAGGAUGUGAUAAUGACUGAAGUAGCCAAUUAACCAGUGUUGUGCAUAAAUGCAAUUUGCAGUGUUACACCGACCACAUCCAUGACUAAUAAAAGUUUAAAGAUAUCACAUGA
Molecule: long non-coding RNA, 2337 nt
Organism: Pleuronectes platessa (European plaice)
Lineage: Eukaryota; Metazoa; Chordata; Actinopteri; Pleuronectiformes; Pleuronectidae
Exons: 2
Source: RefSeq, a predicted model, not a curated record